Molecule: long non-coding RNA, 372 nt
Filed under: Zea mays
Lineage: Eukaryota; Viridiplantae; Streptophyta; Magnoliopsida; Poales; Poaceae
Description: drought responsive lncRNA
Source: RNAcentral
GUCCCAUUCAACUAAGUAGGCUUUGCCAUCUUUCUUCUUGUUAUAAUAUUUCUUUUUCUUCUUGUCACUUUCAUCUUUGCCCUUCUUCUUCUUGCUUGGGCAAUUCAUGGCAAUGUGACCGGGUUCCCCACACUCAAAACACUUUCUAUCAUUGAAAGCACUUCUUCUAGAUGUUUGACCUCUUCUAGGUUGACCUCUCUUCAUCUUCAUGAAUUUAUUGAAUUUCCUUACAAAUAAAGCCAUGUCACCAUCACUCUCACUUUCAUUUUCUUCAUCAUUGCUAUCUUCUUUUUCAAUUGCCUUUGAGGCCUUGGCUUUGAGAGCAAUAGAUUCAUUUUUCACUUUCUUUGCCAAACUUAAAGCAUCGGCUUG